GAUGAACGCUGGCGGCGUGCUUAACACAUGCAAAUCGAACGAAGCACUUUAUUUGAUUUCCUUCGGGACUGAUUAUUUUGUGACUGAGUGGCGGACGGGUGAGUAACGCGUGGGUAACCUGCCUUGUACAGGGGGAUAACAGUUGGAAACGGCUGCUAAUACCGCAUAAGCGCACGGCAUCGCAUGAUGCAGUGUGAAAAACUCCGGUGGUAUAAGAUGGACCCGCGUUGGAUUAGCUAGUUGGUGAGGUAACGGCCCACCAAGGCGACGAUCCAUAGCCGAGCUGAGAGGGUGACCGGCCACAUUGGGACUGAGACACGGUCCAAACUCCUACGGGAAGCAGCAGUGGGGAAUAUUGCACAAUGGGCGAAAGCCUGAUGCAGCGACGCCGCGUGAGCGAAGAAGUAUUUCGGUAUGUAAAGCUCUAUCAGCAGGGAAGAUAAUGACGGUACCUGACUAAGAAGCACCGGCUAAAUACGUG
Molecule: ribosomal RNA, 481 nt
Filed under: uncultured bacterium
Lineage: Bacteria
Description: partial 16S ribosomal RNA
Rfam family: Bacterial small subunit ribosomal RNA
Source: RNAcentral